RNAcentral lists this ribosomal RNA (266 nucleotides) under Escherichia coli O157:H- str. H 2687. RNAcentral's name for it is "partial 23S ribosomal RNA". It matches the Rfam family "Bacterial large subunit ribosomal RNA", at positions 2667 to 2925 of the family's 2925-position model. The record is from RNAcentral. Lineage: Bacteria; Pseudomonadati; Pseudomonadota; Gammaproteobacteria; Enterobacterales; Enterobacteriaceae.
GGGGGCUGCUCCUAGUACGAGAGGACCGGAGUGGACGCAUCACUGGUGUUCGGGUUGUCAUGCCAAUGGCACUGCCCGGUAGCUAAAUGCGGAAGAGAUAAGUGCUGAAAGCAUCUAAGCACGAAACUUGCCCCGAGAUGAGUUCUCCCUGACCCUUUAAGGGUCCUGAAGGAACGUUGAAGACGACGACGUUGAUAGGCCGGGUGUGUAAGCGCAGCGAUGCGUUGAGCUAACCGGUACUAAUGAACCGUGAGGCUUAACCUUAC